GAUGAACGCUGGCGGCGUGCUUAACACAUGCAAGUCGAACGGAACUACUCCAAUGAGAGUCUUCGGAAAGGAUUUGGUUUAGUUUAGUGGCGGACGGGUGAGUAACGCGUGGGUAACCUGCCCUAUACAGGGGGAUAACAGUUGGAAACGACUGUUAAUACCGCAUAAGCGCACAGGAGCGCGUGCUCCGGUGUGAAAAACUCCGGUGGUAUAGGAUGGACCCGCGUCUGAUUAGCUGGUUGGCGGGGUAACGGCCCACCAAGGCGACGAUCAGUAGCCGGCCUGAGAGGGUGAACGGCCACAUUGGGACUGAGACACGGCCCAAACUCCUACGGGAGGCAGCAGUGGGGAAUAUUGCACAAUGGGGGAAACCCUGAUGCAGCGACGCCGCGUGAGCGAAGAAGUAUCUCGGUAUGUAAAGCUCUAUCAGCAGGGAAGAAAAUGACGGUACCUGACGAAGAAGCCCCGGCUAACUACGUG
RNAcentral lists this ribosomal RNA (480 nucleotides) under uncultured bacterium. RNAcentral describes it as "partial 16S ribosomal RNA". It matches the Rfam family "Bacterial small subunit ribosomal RNA", at positions 28 to 507 of the family's 1533-position model. The record is from RNAcentral.